Molecule: RNA transcript, 1633 nt
Organism: Triticum aestivum (bread wheat)
Lineage: Eukaryota; Viridiplantae; Streptophyta; Magnoliopsida; Poales; Poaceae
Exons: 7
Source: RefSeq, a predicted model, not a curated record
GGAGCCAGGGGAGCGGGCACUGGGGUAAUUAAGAGGGGAAAGGGAAGAGGCUACACCGUGGUAAAUAUGAGGAGGGGAGCGGGCAGUCAUUUCAGCUCUAUCCUCUCCACUCUCUCCAUUUUCUCUCUCCCAAAUCUGUACAAGUGCUUGGUGUUCCCGGAGGGGUUCUUUUAACAUUCAGAUCCGACCGCUCCUGCACUACCAGACAGAGAGAAAGAUGGCCGAUGCUGCUGGUCAAGAGGUUUGUGGAGUUUGUUUCAACCAUUGCAACUAUGGGAGCAAGGGAAGCGGUUUCAGCAUGUUUGCAUGGGAGGAGUUCAACAAUGCAGGGGUUGUGCCUUGCAAUGGAAGGGUCCGUUUCAACAAUGUGACAGGAGAGAAGGUGACGAUUGUGGCAAACCAAUGGACAUACACUGUAAAGUGUUAAAAGGGUCGUAUAAAGAGUGCUAUGUAUGGGAGCGGUUGGAGGAAGUUCUAUGAUGACAACAUGCUGGGGAAGGGUCAAAUGGUGGUGUUCUUCCUGGAUGAACCUUCGCCUAGGGCAGCUAUUUGUGUGAUCCAAGUGGGCAACGGCUCUGAAGAUGAACAACCUAUGGAAGAGGGUGAUCCCAUUGAAGAUUCAGAUUCAGAUGAUGAGGAUGGAGAAGCUUCAAGCGAUGAUGGUGAAGGCAUUGUUCGCACCAGGGGGCUUUUGCUUACUGAGACAGAGGGUUUUCAGCUACAAGGGCUGCUGCCUCUCAGUGAUGAUUUCAUCGGGUUUCCUUUCGUUCACCGCCUCACAAAGACAGACAAUUGUUUGGGCAUGAUGUCUCUGGAAUGUGGGUCCAGACUCAACAUCUUUCUAGAGGCUACCCAACGGCACUGUUCGAAUUGAUACACAGAGAGAAAACGGGGGAGGAAGGAAGCCGCAUCACGGGGCGGCGACAUCGAAGGUUUCCGCGGCGGAACUCGCCGGUGAUGAGAUGCUCGGCGACGCCUGCGAGGAGAUGCUCGGCGAUCCGAGCGCCCCUCCAGAGUCCUCGCGCCCUGCUGAUGAGUGUCUGAUGGAUGCCCGCAUGCAGAUUGAACGCGAGAUAGAAACUAAAACCAAGUCCUCCUUGAAAGAAGGGUUAGGUCAACAGCUUAAAACUGAUCAUAUGGAGGAGUCCAAAGACUUAACAAGAGAUUGCCUAAACAAAGUGCCGCACACAGGUAUAGCUUUUGAAGUUGAAGGAGGGAAACCUGGGAGUGAUAGAAAUGAAGAAGGCGGAGAUAAGUUGUGUUAAAGAUACUGAUUUAGAAGAGAGAGAGGCUAUGAUGUCGAGAUCACUGACACUGAAGCAUCAGAGGGUUUGCUAUACGAAGAAGAGGGUUUGCUAUACGAAGAAGUUCUGACAUUUGGUGUGUAACACUUUAUCUAUAAAUAUCCACUUUUUGUUUUUUUGUGUUGGAAUAUUAGGCAAGUUCAUGAUUAAUUCCAGUAAAUAAUUCAUGACUAGAAGAGAUACUAGCAUGUAAUAAUCUAGCAAACUAGAAGAACAGCAAGACAUGCGUAACAGCAGCAAGCAUGUAACAAUAGUUGUAGAAAUAGACAUGAACAAAGGAUGUUGGACGUACUGAUCGUUAGCUAUUAUGGGUGUGACAGUGUUGAUGA